RNAcentral lists this long non-coding RNA (3104 nucleotides) under Homo sapiens (human). The record is from RNAcentral. Lineage: Eukaryota; Metazoa; Chordata; Mammalia; Primates; Hominidae.
GUGCCUUUUGGUACUACUGGAAGUUCUUCUUAAAAGGGAGGAGAUGAGAUUUUUUUUUCCACUUCCUCCACCCCACUGCCUAGAUUAUGUUGCAAUGUUGCAGUUGUAAUGGGAAGAUACUAGCAGAAGUAGGAGAAAAGGCCUGUGGAAUAUGUCCAUAUUUGCAUUUGAGAAACAACACUGGCUGCUCUCUGAAGAGACUAUGCGGAGCAGAAACAAAGCAAGCUGGUGCAUGAUCACCUAUCUCAGCUUUCAAGAGAGUCUGAACAUUAUUUCCCAACCACAAAAGACCCACCUCCACAACUGGGAAGGAAUGGAUCUGCAACCCAUUUGUGAAUAAGCCAGGUGAAUUGACUUUGUCUGUGCUGGAAGAGGAUCAACUGCUUGAAAUCGCAAAUCGAGGUGGCCUUAAAAGUAUGUUUGAGACAACUUCAAGUCUUUACACAUUCUGGAUUAAAGUCAAGGCAAAAUAUACUGAGAUUGCCACGAAAGCACUGAAAAACCUGCUUCUAUUUCCAACAUCCUAUCUUUGUGAAGCAGGGUUUUCUGCAGUGACAGCAACCAAAAUAAGAUUACAGAGUAGACUGGACAUAAGCAACACACUUGGGGUGUCACUGUCUCCCAUCACCCCCAUUUGGGACAAUCUAGUUGCAGGGAAAAAAAUUCCAGGGUUCCCACUGAUUCUAUGUUACGGUGAGUUGUGUAACUAUUUUAUUAUGUAUUACCAUGUGAUAAUAAUAGAAAUAAAAUGCACAAUACAUGUAAUGUGCUUGAAUAUUCCUGAACCCACCACCCCCAAACCCAGCCGUUGGAAAAAUUGUCUUCCAUGAAAUCAGUACUUGGUGCCAAAAAGGUUAGGGACCGCCGCAUUACAGAAUGUCAUAAUUGCUGCCUUUUAUGACGAAAAUGCUGUGUCUCAGUAGCUAAGACAGGCACAUUGAUCAACAACUACAAAAUCUAAGUGUAUUUAAUAUUAAGGUCUUUUAGAUAACUUAAUAGGCUUUUGAAACAACAGAGAAGCCCUCACUUUGCAGAUGUGUAAGUAACUUUUCCAUAAAGUUAAAUGAAACCAUUAAAAUAUUUUCAAUUAUUGGUAAUACAUCCAAAUAGUAUGAAUGGGGAAAAUAGGAUUAGUGUUAUCUGAUUGCCACUAGGGGGAGGAAAAAUCAGCAAAUGAGCAGCAAAUAUGAACUGGAAGAAAAUGCUCCAAAAAGUUGGCGUGGCAUAUGUAUUUUGGUUAACAUUUGUGAAGUAUAAGUAGUGCAUUACACAAUUAAAGAAACAUUUUUUAUUUUUUUACUUUUCUAUAUAUUCUACAUUAAAAAUAUGUUCUAAUUAUACACACACAUUUAAAAGAAAAAAGUCAAAAGACAUAUAAAUAUCAUGGGAACAUGGAACUUUAGAAUGAGUCAGGACAAGUCUUAGAUAACUUUGCUCAGCCUCUCUCCUUCGUGUGACAUCCCUAGUAGAACAAGGUACACCUACCUCUACUUGGAAACUUCUGGUGAUGGGGAUCUUGUUUUUUUUUUUUUUUUUUUUUUCAGUCUAACUCACUCUAGUAUUGAUCAUCACUGAGUCAGAAACUUCUCCCCAAAAUGGACUACAACAUGGCUACAUUUUAUAUUCACUUGUGGCACAGUGUUACCAUAUAUUGAACUACAGGUUGUGCACUGCACAGCUUCAUAGAUUACAAUAUGCAUAGCACACCCUGAAGAUCAGCAGUGUCACAGGGUCAAGAUUCCUUUCAUGGCCUAUAUCAUUGUCCAAGUUGUAUAUAUUCUUUCUUUGUCUUCCUUUUUCUCUUCCUCUUCUUCCUUUUUUCCUUUCUUUUAGCAUUACUUGACCUCUUUAGAGGGAAGAUGUGGCUCAAAAUAUUGCUUUGGGUUAAUGUUCUUUGUCUUACAUUUUUCCUGGAAAAAAAUUAAUCAGUGGUUUUUUCUUGAUUUUCCACAUUUACGAAGUUUGCUUUUAGACUGCAAAGUAACUCACAGCACAGUUUCAGAUGACUUUUAUUGACUCAUGAUCAAGGGAACCCUCAACACACAAAAGAAAUUGAGCAUGAAUUUGUCAUAACUACUGACUUAAGGCUAAGCAAGGCAUAUAUACAUAUAUAUAUGUGUGUGUGUGUAUGUUUAUCUAAUUCUCACAACUAAUCUGUGCAAUAAUUGUUAUAGCCACAGCUCUGUCCUGGAGUCACAUUAAAUAGUUCCCUCAUCUGCCAAUGCUCCUUUAUUAUGGGCUCUCAUGCAUACUAUCCUCUCUAUUGAAACACUCACUCUGACCAUCCCAACUUCCUCUUUUGUUUAUUCUCUCUUUUGCCUGACAAACUCCAACUUAUAAUUCAGGUUUCAGAAUAGACAUGGCCAUUUCCAUGAUCUUCCAUGACGGGCUAGUUGCCCUCCCUAUUUGCUCCCAAAUGCUUUGCAUGUCCCAUAUUUUAUCCCAUAAAUUUAUAUUAUAGUUGCCUAUGUACUAGUCUAGUCUCGUGUGCUAGACUGUCUAACAAUAGUCUCUUGUAUUAGACUGACCACCGUGAGAUCCAGGACCAUAGAAGGGGGAACAUAGUUUAAUCUACUACAGUGUAGUGAGGACAUGGAACCUGCACCUAUGCUUCCUGGAUGUAAAUCCUGUCUUUACCACUUACUAACUGAGGGUCUGCAGACAAAUUAAAUGAAUGAGUCUGUUUAUUUGCAAAAUGAGAAUAAAAUAGUCCAUACUUUCUGCAAUUGUUGUGAGAGAGAACACAGAAAAGGCGCUGAGAGGGUACAUGGCAUGCAGUAAGUGUUAUUCGUUUUAUUGAGGCUAGUCAUGAAUGUAAUCUCAAGCUGGCACAUAGUAGAUGCUCAGAAAUUUUUGGAGACCCAGGAUCAUCUCAAAUGUAACUUCUUCUAUAAAGCCUUCUCAAAUGCCCCAUUUAGAAGUCUUCCUCUCAACUCAGAUGACACCUUACCUCCUACUAUUUAAUAGUACUUCUUAUCUAUUACCAUAUAUCCAGCGAAUGUUUUCUGCAUGUCGUUUUCUUCCUACCAAGCCAAAGCUUCUAGCUGGCAGGCUCCAUAUUUGUCUCUAUUCAUCACAACACCUAUGGUAGAAAACAAUUGUUG